GAUGAACGCUGGCGGCGUGCCUAAUACAUGCAAGUCGAGCGAACAGACGAGGAGCUUGCUCCUCUGACGUUAGCGGCGGACGGGUGAGUAACACGUGGAUAACCUACCUAUAAGACUUGGAUAACUUCGGGAAACCGGAGCUAAUACCGGAUCAUAUAUUGAACCGGAUGAUUCAAUAGUGAAUGGCGGCUUUGCUGUCACUAAUAGACGAUUUCGCGCCGCAUUAGCUAGUUGGUAAGGUAACGGCUUACCAAGGCAACGAUGCGUAGCCGACCUGAGAGGGUGAUCGGCCACACUGGAACUGAGACACGGUCCAGACUCCUACGGGAGGCAGCAGUAGGGAAUCUUCCGCAAUGGGCGAAAGCCUGACGGAGCAACGCCGCGUGAGUGAUGAAGGUCUUCGGAUCGUAAAGCUCUGUUGUUAGGGAAGAACAAAUGUAGAAGAAACUAUGCACGUCUUGACGGUACCUAAUCAGAAAGCCACGGCUAACUACGUG
This 497-nucleotide ribosomal RNA is filed under the name uncultured bacterium. RNAcentral describes it as "partial 16S ribosomal RNA". It matches the Rfam family "Bacterial small subunit ribosomal RNA", at positions 28 to 507 of the family's 1533-position model. The record is from RNAcentral.